Gadus chalcogrammus (walleye pollock) is the source of this 5522-nucleotide long non-coding RNA. RefSeq lists it as uncharacterized. Lineage: Eukaryota; Metazoa; Chordata; Actinopteri; Gadiformes; Gadidae. The record is from RefSeq and is a predicted model, not a curated record. The transcript is spliced from 4 exons.
UGUACUUUGCGGCCAAUGGAUUUUCGUUUUGAAAUGAGAAAACCAAAAUCGGGAAACGAGCUGUUUCCCGAUUACCAUAUAGAGAUAGGAAAACAAAAAUCCGAAAAUGACCCAUUUUCCGAAUUUUGUUUUGAUAAUAGAAAACGGAAAACGGUAAAACGACCAGUUAUCUGAUUUUCUUUGAUGUGCUUAAACAUUGACAUCGGGAAUUAAAAUACUGCGUGGAAAUCUUCUUUCUCAAUUUUGCGAAGAUUUUGUGUUGUGACCCGGAAGUUCCUCUCACAAGCUUAACCGUUACAUUGCAUGGAAUGGAAAUGGAGAGCUUCAUAUUGUUUCGCGGACCCAAACGGCUGACUAUGAAGCAAGAGGACAUGUCUGCAGACAAAAUUUGCAGGAUUUUUCAGGUCAGUUGCAGCAGUCUUUAUAUCACGGACGACUCCAACACGGCAAUAUUUCCAGAGCCAGCAGGCCAUUUUUCAAUAAUUAAUCUGACUAAUCGCAGUCAUUAUGAGGUCCACGGCGAUGCAGAGCACCUUCCACCCGCUGCUGGUGCCCCUGCUUUUGGGUUCAUGCGCCGACCCUCACCGGCUUCUGCUUCUGCCACAUCUUUUUCUGCGUCUGGUUUUUCCACUGAAACACCACCACCACCACCACGAGCUGGAACUCCACGAGCUAGUGGAGCUAGCUUGUUCCAGGGAAGAUCAUUCCAAAGGUUACUUGUUAAAUAUGUAACUUGUUAAAUAUGUAACUGAUCUCUGCUGCUAAAAUCUCGUCCUAUAAUAUAUAAAUAUCAUUUUAGGCCCAUAGGUGUGAUUUUAAGACGGUCUGAUUUAUCCCCAGGUCAAUCCAUCUGGCAGAAAUUGUUAAUGAGAAACUCAGUCCUUCCAGGACAGUAGUUGUGCGCUUUUUGGAAGCUGAGGCCUGCGUUGAACGAAUUUCGGCCAAAGUUCAAGAUGCCGUGGGCUCUGAUGAGCCUAUUACCUUGACGGACACCCAAGGAAACGAAAUAAUGGACUCUGAGGGCACAAGAACCCAACCAAUGUUACAUACCCUAUUCGGAGACCGUAAGGAACCGUGUGAAAUACCCCCAAAAAGUCAAUGACCCCUUUUAAAAACAAGUGAAGUUAAUGUUUUCUGACUUCUUAGGUUCCCAGUUCUGGAAACAGAACUCAAGAAAAAUAUAUGCUGUGCCUGAAAGUGACUUUGUGGAGUUUCAGAAUGGGAGAAGAGCUAAAACAAGGUAAUACAACAUUUGAUCUGUAGGCAAAUUCAUAUAUGAACUAAAACUUCCUGAAGGAAAUACCAGUGUAAUGCAAAAGUUAAGAAAGGAAAAAGAAAGUAGAGUGGAAGAAUAAUUAUUAUUUGAACUUAAUUUGGUCUGCUUUUUUGAGUGAUGAUCAUGAAUGAAGUCAUUAUGAUUCAAUUAUAUGACAACAAUGUCUCAUAGGUUGACGCUUUUACAGAGUAAAUUAAGAUUUAUAAAAUAUUCAGAAAGAUAUUCAAACAUUUGUUCAUAUGCACCAUUUGAAAAAAAUCUUUAAUCCUUUCUUUUCUGUUCAUACAUUUAAGUCGAAGGGAUGGAGAUUCAAGCCUGCAGGAGGUCCUUGGACGUGUUGACCAGCUGAAGCAAGCCGCCGGGAGUCUCCAAGAGGUCACUAAUUCAAUCAACCAGCUGUCUCAGCUGGCCAAGUCUCAAAAGGAGGAGAUAAUGGCAAAUGUCGGUUUGCAGCCCUUAAAGGAAGCCUUUGCAUGUCUUGUGUGUAAAGCUGUAAUGGCAGAUCCCAUGUUCGCCACAUGCUGUGAAUCGAUAAUUGGAUGUCGUACCUGUGUGGAGCUGUGGUUAGUCACAUCAGACCACUGCUUGAAAUGCAGGGCAGGAGACUUUGAAAAUAAAAUACAUGAAGUGAAGGGUCUCUCUGCUGCCUUGUCACUUUUCAAGGAGAGAGAAAUUGAUUUGAUUUGAUAGAUAAUUGUUUGUUAUUGUUUGUUAUGUUUACAUUACUGGAACUACCUCAGUUUGUUUGUUGGAUGUUAUUAUGGGUACAUGACCAGAAAGAUGUUGUUUGUUGUAAUGUUUAUAUUGUGUGUGACCGUUUUAAAAAAAAAGAAAAGAAAAAAGACAACUUCCACUUUAUCAUUGUUGUAAUAAAAUGUUAUUUUUGGUAUACUGCUUCUUCAUUGACCAUUGCAGGUCACUGUGUAACAGGUCGCACAUGUCUUGAGGUGAUAUCAAUCAGAGACCUCACUGCAUUUUUAAAAGGGCCAUAGUUAUGGUUAACCACAUUUUGGAAGAGGGAUAGCAAAUCAAAGAGAGAACCAAACUCAGUUUCAGUCCAUUGUUGGGCUUCUUCAGAGGGGAAAGGAUCACUUCCAAAAAUGGAUUCUCUUUUCAAGGCUGAUCCCAUUUCCUGCUGAUACAGGUCAGCUGCAACUGCACCGACUGGCAGAAGGUCCUCAGAAAGUUUUGCAGGACACCCUUCUUUAGCCAGUUCGUUUGGUAUUCCCCUUCCUGCAAGACAGUAAAGUGAGUAGUGAGAUUAAAGGGGUUACACUUGUGGGGAGGUAAUCAUUUUGCCAAUGAUGUUUUGACUUGUUAUUUUAGUUGUCUUUCACAGCAUAUUGGAGUUGACAAUAAUGACAGCUUCAUUCAGAUGGGGGUCAUUCCUACAAAAUUCACCCAAUGUAAAUGCCCUCAAAUUAAAGAUGAAUGUCUGUGCUUUGAGCAUGUAUUCAUUUACAUUCAACUCCAAACCUGUAGAAGUCAUCUAAAAAAGCAAGAACAUGGUCAACGUCCAAAAAACUUGAUUCUAACUAAUAACAUGUUUUACUAAUUGAAUCUGCCCCUCUACAGAAAGUACUGGAUUUGCAGUGUUGCAAUUUGAGCUACACAUUUGUGAAUCCAUUUCAGAUUGAACUCUACAAUAGAACAUCAAAAUUAAUUUACACUGCUUUAUUAGCAAGUUAUGCCUGUAAUACCGCCAGUAAAAUGAAAUUAAUCAUACCUGGGAUCCUGUGUGCAUUCCAUGCCUGUACGACAUUUGUGAUGCCAAUCCUAGCCAGCUGGCAUGUCAGGUUUGACACACAAUACCUGGAUGUGUUGUCCUCCAUGUCCAGUUCCUCCUGGUCCACCAGCUGUACCAGAGCUGUCUUCAAAGGGUAGUUGACUCGAGCAUUCACCUCCGACCACAUUCUCUCUAUCACAUGGUUCUGUGCAGGUUAUAAGGAUAGUGUCAGUCUGCCUGCCCUCAUUAGAAAUACGCCUCAAUGGCAAGAAACCAGGAUUAAUUUUUAACAACACAUUUAUUUUACCCUUGUAGAAGGUGUCUGAAGGUAGGGCUGCCUUUGAGUAUUGUGUCGAUGUUCUGCCAGUUUUUCCUGGAUGAAUAAAGCCAGAUAGAAUUCUUUCCCACAGUCAACUCUGACCUGGUCCCAUAUUCCAUAGGAAAGAACAGCAGGCCUGAAGAUAAAUCACCGACAAACGUAAAAUAUACAUAAACAGCAUCAGUCUCUUAGCCAUGGCCAGCUAAAGUGACAAUUACAUUUUUUUGUCAAAAUUGGAAUGAUAUCAAUAAUAGUAAAACUGGAAAAUUAACUAAGAAACUGGAAGAGGGAAAAAGUUUUUUGUUUUUUCCAAAUUAAUUAUUUCCAUAUUACAAAUCUAGGUUUUAACCUUUUUUAAUGUACUUGUUCAAGUCUGGGUCCUCCUAAGGAGACAACUUUGGGUUCCACCUUACAAAGUCUGUGAAGUUAAUUUACCGGUACACUUCCUCAUAAAUCACGAUGUUGUUCUUUAUUGGCAUGGUGGAGUGACCGACCACCUUCUUGCUGAAACCAUCGAUAGCCAUAACAUGAGUCACUCCAAACAUAACAAGCUUCUCAUUCUGAUCUACAUGCAGCUUGUGACCCAUGUAUUCUGCAUUGUAGGGUAUGGGGUUCAGAUUCCGGGCACCCUAAAAUAUAAGAAUUCCAUUAUAAUAAAAACUCAAUAAUCUUUCAUUCGUAUGAUUAGAAUCUCAACACGUAUGUUCUAUUGAAAUGUAGAAAACACAAUGCUAUUUGACCUUACCUGCUGUCUUGCAAUGUGGUAGGGUUGAUGAAUACUUCUCAACACAUUGCCCACUCUGCCUUCAGAAGCUUUAACCCCUUUUGCGGAUAGAUAUCCAGUCAUCAUUUUUCGACCAAAAGACGAUCCAGUCUGGGGGGGUGGGGGUGUAGGUAUGAUGUUUAGCAUACAUAAUAUAUAUACAUAUUAUAAAACAAUUGGGUUCUAUCGAGUUAUUAAGCCGUUUCUGAUUGGACGAGAGACGUUCCAUGAGUUGGAAUAUCCCAGGACAUCCCAACUCGGACUUUCACAGCUAAUAAUAAAUCACUCUGCGAUGAAACAUUCUAAAGCGCGCUGAUGAUAACUGUUAGUUCUUGUAAUUCCAAACCAAGACGUUGACUGGAACUAUUUUUUGUUGCGGAGAAACAAUGGUGAAAUUAACAUUUUUUAAAUCAAUAACUUCGUGUUGAAAUGUUAAUUGGUUGAAUAUAAAAUUGUUUUAUAAAAGCAAUAUAGUACUCGUGCGAGUGGGGUAGGUAAGGGAUAUUGUUACCUGCUGUUACCUACGGCCGAACACCACCAGUGGGAAUAUCCCUUACCUACCCCACUCGCAGCCUACUAUAUUGCUUAAAUAUAUAUAUUUAAUUAUAAAUAGUAAAUCAUCUUAGUUUAAAUUUAAGAUUAAGACGUGCAUUUUUUAAAAAUACAGAAAUAUUUCCUGUUGAUUAACAACCAACGUGUUUAUGAAUUAAAUCCAAAAAUUGCAUUAGCACCAGUCAGAUGCCCGACUUUGCAUAUAACUGUGGUCAGCUUUUUAUGUAAGAGUAGCAUUCCUUUGUAUGCUUAACAAAAGCGGUAAUCGUGAAAGGCGGAUGAUAAAAAAAAACCUACCUCGAGAAUACCUUCAGCGACUUCAACUUCAAGUUGACUAUCAGGGCAGAAGUCCCUGACAAGCCCCUGCUCAGCACACCACCUCCGCACAUUCCUCUCGGAAAACCCCCGUGUAGUUCCAAACUGGGUGCAUAACGCAGUGGCGAUAUCCCCACAGGACAUUCCAUUAUUUCGGUGUUCUGAAAUAAAACCUGCAUAUUCGUGCAAUGCCAUUUUGAGGUGCGUCUCAAGGAUGUCUGGCUCCAAAUUAAAUACACCGCCAACUACUGAUAGCUUGGCUCCAAAUUAAAUACACCGCGCGCCAACUACUGAUAGCUUCCGGGUCACAACACAAAAAUAUUCGCAAAAUUGAGAAAGAAGAUUUCCACGCAGUAUUUUAAUUCCCGAUGUCCAUGUUUAAGCACAUCAAAGAAAAUCAGAUAACUGGUCGUUUUACCGUUUUCCGUUUUCUAUUAUCAAAACAAAAUUCGGAAAAUGGGUCAUUUUCGGAUUUUUGUUUUCCUAUCUCUAUAUGGUAAUCGGGAAACAGCUCGUUUCCCGAUUUUGGUUUUCUCAUUUCAAAACGAAAAUCCAUUGGCCGCAAAGUACA